RNAcentral lists this non-coding RNA (101 nucleotides) under Fragilariopsis kerguelensis. The record is from RNAcentral. Lineage: Eukaryota; Bacillariophyta; Bacillariophyceae; Bacillariales; Bacillariaceae.
CCACCGCAGACCGUAUUGGUGGUGGCUGCUUCGAUGGUGUGACGGUGGGAAUGACUGGAGUUGUUGUUGCUGUUGUUGUUGUUGUUGUUGUUGAACUGUGA